Molecule: long non-coding RNA, 2173 nt
Organism: Monomorium pharaonis (pharaoh ant)
Lineage: Eukaryota; Metazoa; Arthropoda; Insecta; Hymenoptera; Formicidae
Exons: 2
Source: RefSeq, a predicted model, not a curated record
CGGCUUCUGAGCAACCUAGGACAAUGUUCUUUUUUUUUAAUUUAAAGAAAAAUCGCAUCUUUUAAAUGCAUUUUACCCCAUUUUGAUAGCGUUAAUAUUUUAAAAAUCAUUUUAUUGUUAAUUAGGCUUAUUUUUAUUUGAGGCACUUAAUUGCAUUGCACACAUUUCGCAAUACCGAUAUAUAAUACUGCAACUUUUUAAGAAGAGAAAAAACUUUGGUUCAUGUUCGUGCAUGGUCUCAAAAAUGUAGAAAUUAAAUUUUAGCGCGUUUUGGUUAAACAAUUGCCAUUACUCGAAAAGUGGUUAAUAUUUUUUUAUGAAAUUUGGUACACUUUUUUAUCGUCAUAAAAGCUAUAUUUUCCUACAAUUUCAAAUGCUUAAGUUAAUUUCUAAGAAAGUUAUAAACAAUUAAAGAAAUGGUCAUUUUUUAUGGUUUUUUCUACUCUACAACCAAACUAAUCGACCGAUCUUAAUGAACCAAACUUAUUAUUGUAGAUCUACUUAAUAUCUACAACUUUUGUUUGAAACUUUUUUCGAUUCCGUUUUUAGUUUACGAAACGCAAGCAAAAAACUACUUUUUCCUCACUUCAACCCGUAAUUUUGCAAUAACCCCCAGCUUUUUGCGAGUUGCAAACGUACCUAUCUUAAUCUACACAUAUUAAUUGUGCUUUAUGCACAGUCAAACCUGAGUUAUCAAUUUUUUUUUUUGAAAAAAUGCUAAUUCUACUAAACUACUCUUGUGCAGACCGUUGCCGAGUAAAAAAAAGAUAGAUAGUACUUUCUCGCACGUGUGACAAAGAAACAAAGCUCGAGGGAGUAAAUUGCCAAGUACUGCGUUGCCACAUUUUGACAUAUCCUCUUGCUAAUAACUGUGGAUACCUAAGUAUAGUCAAUACAGUAAAAAUAAUCUUGAUAUCAACGGAUUCUAUAAAAAAUGCCGUAUAUUUCAUUGCAGAUCUGAUACAUUUUUUUAAGCCCUAUCAAUUAUUUGCAUAAAAUGUCACAGUGUAACUGUUAGAACAAAAGUUAGCACAAACGACUGCUAGUUCGAUAUAUAUAUGUCACUAUAGCGAUGUCUCUUUUCCUUUACUCAGUAACAGUUUUCAUAGGCGAUCCACGGUCCAGUAGUAUGUAGUCUAAGCACAAUGUUUAUUCUUUGAUUAAUUGGUUUUAAAGAAACUUGCGCUAUAUAUAGGUUUUUAGAUAGCUGAAUACAAAUUCAUGAACAAAAUUAAAAAUGGCAAACUCCAAUAUGAUCUGACUAAAGUGUUAGUUUCAAAAUUGAUUGUUCGACAAAAUCUUGUAUGAAUGGCUGCGUUCAACGGAGAAUGUAGCGGUGGAACUGUUGUAAAAUUCUCCAAUUUGUUCUUGCCCUUAGUUCGUGUUGAAAACUAAAUGUAUAAACCAAUUGUUGUGAGCGUGGCUCUCACAACCAAUAAUAAAUAAAAUAAUAUUAAAAUUAAAUUUAAAAAGAUAUUAGAGCUCGUCGAAGAAGACUCAUUAUCGCGAGGUGUCGAAUAACACAUGCCUCGUGUGCUGCUGGCCGACCAUCGCACCGGUCAACGCAUCUCGGAAUUUAGCUUAGCAAUAAUCAUGUCAUCGAAAAUGCAUAUUUGCGUUUUGGCAAUUGUUGCUAAGCUGCAAAUAUUUCCCGCGCGCCGAAUGCGCGCGGAUAAUGACCAAAUAUAGUCAUGCUAAGUGCCUAUUGCCUCACUAUUAUACCAAACCCGCAGUACUACUUAAGCACCCGCCAAAUAAUGGGCCGCGGAACAGUCAUUAGUCAAUCAAACCGAUAUGUACGGCCCGCGAGAUUAGAGUACGGAACUUAGAAUUCGGGACUUAUGCUGCUUUCCAUUUACAUCAAAACUCAGAUAAAUUUCACUUGUGACGUCAUAACUCAGUUAAAUGCACGUUCCUUUUGCAUUUUCACAAGUGAGAUUCAACUGAGUUUUUUUCCUACAAUCUGAGCAAUUUCAAGACCGUGUGCUUUACUGAUUAUAAAUGGAAAGCAGCAUUAGUCACAGCGAACCUCGAGCGAGCGAAUAUACAGCGCGCUAUCUCAGAGCCGCGCGCCGUAUCUAAUCACCUCUGUGUAAGACACCUUCGCCGACCGCAAGUAUAAGAAACUACAGUGUAUCAUACGGCGAAUAAACAUUCUGUUAAUUAGCAAAAA